Molecule: long non-coding RNA, 690 nt
Organism: Amphimedon queenslandica
Lineage: Eukaryota; Metazoa; Porifera; Demospongiae; Haplosclerida; Niphatidae
Exons: 4
Source: RefSeq, a predicted model, not a curated record
CACUUCACGUCGCAUAAUAUACUCUCCACUUUCCUUAUACGGUAAUCAAUUGGUUUUAUUAAUUCCCCGAGAACCUUUUUAGCUAGUAACGGUCCAUCAGCAAUACCCACUAGUACCCUCUUGGUUCAGUGCUAUGAGUGCUGCCGUCGUUAGCAAAAGGAGGUGACCAAUGUCAUAAAUAAUAGAGUAAAAUUCAAUAAAUUAUUAAAUUAAAUUAAAUUCAAACCCUUUUAGAUAUUAAUUACCCUUUUAGAUUUAAUUGUUGAUGAACAAUUAAAGAGAAUAUUUAAGCUAGUCGGUACACCCACAGAGAGGUCGUGGCCUGGUCUAACUAAACUUCCAGAGUUUAAGGAGUUCCCACCAUAUCCUCCAGCAUGUAUUGAGUCAGUAGUACCAGCACUGAACGAUGCCGAGUGGACUUACUUCAGCGUCACUUGAUAUGUCACCCAACUGAGAGGAUAUCAGCAGAAGAGGCUAUGAGACACGAGUACUUUGCUGAUAUUGAUCCAUCACUGAGAGCUUGAUGUGCAUAGAAGGAAGAUGGAGCUGCUUUCUUUCACAACAUUGAUCACAAUGAUACAUGUAUUUUGAACUUAUUUUAUUUUCAUCAUUCCUCUUUACCUUCUUUCACUAAUGGACAGUUAAAUCGAUAUUUUUUGUCCUCUAACUACAAUUAUUAUCAUUACUAAA